Molecule: non-coding RNA, 71 nt
Organism: Gymnothorax javanicus (giant moray)
Lineage: Eukaryota; Metazoa; Chordata; Actinopteri; Anguilliformes; Muraenidae
Source: the annotation of a GenBank genome assembly
ACUGAUAUAGCCUAGUGGUCAGGGUGUAGCGCUGCAAUAUAGACGUCCGAGGUUCGAGUCCCCGGUCGGUU